UGGGGAAUUUUGGACAAUGGGCGCAAGCCUUAUCCAGCAAUGCCGCGUGCAGGAUGAAGGCCUUCGGGUUGUAAACUGCUUUUGUACGGAGCGAAAAGGUCUGCCCUAAUACUGUUGGCUCAUGACGGUACCGCAAGAAUAAGCACCGGCUAACUACGUGCCAGCAGCCUCGGUAAUACGUAGGGUGCGAGCGUUAAUCGCAAUUACUGGGCGUAAAGCGUGCGCAGGCGGUUAUAUAAGACAGAUGUGAAAUCCCCUGGCUCAACCUGGGACCUGCAUUUGUGACGGUAGAGCUGGAGUACGGUAGAGGGAGAUGGAAUUCCGCGGGUAGCAGUGAAGUGCGUAGAAAUGCGGAGGAACACCGAUGGCGAAGGCAAUCCCCUGGACCUGUACUGAGGCUCAUGCACGAAAGCGUGGGGAGAAAACA
Molecule: ribosomal RNA, 427 nt
Filed under: uncultured bacterium
Lineage: Bacteria
Description: bacterial SSU rRNA
Rfam family: Bacterial small subunit ribosomal RNA
Source: RNAcentral